RNAcentral lists this ribosomal RNA (587 nucleotides) under uncultured Funneliformis. Its description in RNAcentral is "LSU rRNA". It matches the Rfam family "Eukaryotic large subunit ribosomal RNA", at positions 204 to 637 of the family's 3401-position model. The record is from RNAcentral. Lineage: Eukaryota; Fungi; Glomeromycota; Glomeromycetes; Glomerales; Glomeraceae.
CAUGGAGGGUGAGAAUCCCGUUCAUGGUUAAUCUUAAGGAAGCUCUACGAUACGUUUUCCAAGAGUCGAGUUGUUUGGGAUUGCAGCUCAAAAUGGGAGGUAAAUUUCUCCUAAGGCUAAAUAUUGGCGAGAGACCGAUAGCGAACAAGUACCGUGAGGGAAAGAUGAAAAGAACUUUGAAAAGAGAGUUAAACAGUACGUGAAAUUGUUGAAAGGGAAACGAUUGAAGUCAGUCAUACCAACGGGAAAUCAACCUUUUGAGCUCGGUCUCGUGGGUUUUGAAGAGUUUCAAAGCCUUCGGAUUCGCGGGAUUGGGAUCUCUUGGUGUACUUUUUCGUACGGUUAGUCAACAUCGGUUUUGAAUGUCAUAAAAUGACUGGAGGAAUGUAGCUUCGGUCUCGUAUCGGAGUGUUAUAGCCUUUGGUAGAUGUGAUGUUUGAGACCGAGGAUUGCAACGGAUACCCUUCAGGGCUAUUCGUCUGAUCUCUGAUACGUUGCCUUGAUGUUGAAAGCUUGCUUAUGAUGUUAGGGUAUUACGGUCAAAAGGUUAGAACGAAUUACAUUCGUUAAGGAUGUUGACGUAAUGG